AUUGAACGCUGGCGGCAUGCCUUACACAUGCAAGUCGAACGGUAGAGUAGCAAUACUUGAGAGUGGCGAACGGGUGAGUAAUAUAUCGGAACGUGCCCAGUCGUGGGGGAUAACGUAGAGAAAUUUACGCUAAUACCGCAUACGAUCUAAGGAUGAAAGCGGGGGAUUCGCAAGAACCUCGCGCGAUUGGAGCGGCUGAUAUCAGAUUAGGUUGUUGGUGAGGUAAAAGCUCACCAAGCCGACGAUCUGUAGCUGGUUUGAGAGAACGACCAGCCACACUGGGACUGAGACACGGCCCAGACUCCUACGGGAGGCAGCAGUGGGGAAUUUUGGACAAUGGGCGCAAGCCUGAUCCAGCAAUGCCGCGUGCAGGAUGAAGGCCUCGGUU
This 388-nucleotide ribosomal RNA is filed under the name uncultured bacterium. RNAcentral's name for it is "bacterial SSU rRNA". It matches the Rfam family "Bacterial small subunit ribosomal RNA", at positions 30 to 424 of the family's 1533-position model. The record is from RNAcentral.